Molecule: ribosomal RNA, 423 nt
Filed under: uncultured bacterium
Lineage: Bacteria
Description: bacterial SSU rRNA
Rfam family: Bacterial small subunit ribosomal RNA
Source: RNAcentral
UAGGGAAUAUUGGGCAAUGGAGGCAACUCUGACCCAGCCAUGCCGCGUGCAGGAUGACGGCGCUCAGCGUUGUAAACUGCUUUUAUCAGGGAAGAACAGUUGUGGUGCGCCAUGAUGUGACGGUACCUGAGGAAUAAGCACCGGCUAACUCCGUGCCAGCAGCCGCGGUAAUACGGAGGGUGCAAGCGUUGUCCGGAUUUAUUGGGUUUAAAGGGUGCGUAGGUGGUUUGCUAAGUCUGGUUUGAAAGUAGGUCGCUUAACGAUCUAAUGUGGCUGGAAACUGGGGAACUUGAAUGAUUUGGCGGUAGCCGGAACGGGUCAUGUAGCGGUGAAAUGCAUAGAUAUGACCCAGAACACCGAUUGCGAAGGCAGGCUACUACGAGUUGAUUGACACUGAGGCACGAGAGCAUGGGGAGCGAACAG